This is a non-coding RNA of Ictidomys tridecemlineatus (thirteen-lined ground squirrel), 73 nucleotides long. The record is from Rfam. NCBI's taxonomy places the organism in Eukaryota, Metazoa, Chordata, Mammalia, Rodentia, Sciuridae.
GGGGAUAUACCUCAGUUGGUAGAGGGCUCGCCUUGCAUGCGAGAAUUCCUGGGUUCAAUCCCCAGCACUUCCA